CCCAAGUCAGUAUAUAAUGAAAUCUGAAAAACAGCUAAGAUGCAAGAAAGUUAUUCUGUAUCAUAUAUAGCCACCCAGAAAAAUACAGACAACAGACCUAGACAACUCACACAGGCCUCAUUGUACUCAGAAGAAGCAGAGAAAAAAAAAAAAGAAUUCAUUCCACCCAUUUAGCUAAACUAUUAAGGCAGUUCCAAAGUGGUUUGUUCAAGUUUAUUUGGAUGUUAAAUGCUAAAUGAAAGAUCUCUAGAUGAAAUGUUAAAGAUUGUAUCUUAUUUUUAGGAAAUAAACAGAUUCCAGAGGUGUGUUCCUGCCGGGCCAAUCACGAGGCUGUAGCACAGCGCUGCCAUGUCCCUGAGCCCAAUCACAGCCUCAAAGGGAAACUUGUUUUGCUGUUUGUCUCCGCAGUGCUGGUGAUGGAUGGCUGCUUCAGGGGAAGAGAUCAAGCUGUGUGGAAGAACCUCGGGCAGACAAGAUACAUUGAGGGAAGGCUUAGAAGAUAGGCCUGAGACAGCAAGCGGCCUCAGCCUACACCUCUCUUUCCCUCUCCAGAAAUGGAAACUAGACUCCAUCUCUUGCCUCAGCUCUAACUUCAUGGCACUGUGAUGCCAGCUCAGUCCUCAGCACUGCUCCUCCAGCACUGUCACGCCUGGCUCUGCCUAGCUCCAAACUCACAGAGAGCAGCGAGCCAAAAGGCCUCAGUCUCCCAGAAGACUGGAUCUUGAGACUGAAGUGCAACUGCUCAACUCCCAUUAGCUCAACCACAUCUCAAAUUCUUCUACAUUAAAGAAAAGCAAAUGACUGGAAGCAAUAGGAUUGUUAAUGCUGGGACCAUCUCCUCACUCCAGGAAAACCUUCUGUCAGAGUUAAGUAUCUGCUUUUCC
This 884-nucleotide long non-coding RNA is filed under the name Struthio camelus australis. RNAcentral's name for it is "lncRNA (ENSSCUG00000008856.1)". The record is from RNAcentral. Lineage: Eukaryota; Metazoa; Chordata; Aves; Struthioniformes; Struthionidae.